RNAcentral lists this ribosomal RNA (493 nucleotides) under uncultured bacterium. RNAcentral's name for it is "partial 16S ribosomal RNA". It matches the Rfam family "Bacterial small subunit ribosomal RNA", at positions 28 to 526 of the family's 1533-position model. The record is from RNAcentral.
GACGAACGCUGGCGGCGUGCUUAACACAUGCAAGUCGAACGCUGAAGCCCUUUCGGGGGUGGAUGAGUGGCGAACGGGUGAGUAACACGUGGGUAAUCUGCCCUGUACUUCGGGAUAAGCCUUGGAAACGGGGUCUAAUACCGGAUAGGACCUGUCCUCGCAUGGGGGUGGGUGGAAAGUUCCGGCGGUAUGGGAUGAGCCCGCGGCCUAUCAGCUUGUUGGUGGGGUAGUGGCCUACCAAGGCGACGACGGGUAGCCGGCCUGAGAGGGUGACCGGUCACACUGGGACUGAGACACGGCCCAGACUCCUACGGGAGGCAGCAGUGGGGAAUCUUGCGCAAUGGGCGAAAGCUUGACGCAGCAACGCCGCGUGGGGGAUGACGGCCUUCGGGUUGUAAACCUCUUUCGACAUCGACGAAGGGGCCCUGUUGUGGGGUUUUGACGGUAGGUGUAGAAGAAGCACCGGCUAACUACGUGCCAGCCGCCGUAACAC